RNAcentral lists this ribosomal RNA (813 nucleotides) under Orbilia ungulata. Its description in RNAcentral is "eukaryotic LSU rRNA". It matches the Rfam family "Eukaryotic large subunit ribosomal RNA", at positions 46 to 878 of the family's 3401-position model. The record is from RNAcentral. Lineage: Eukaryota; Fungi; Ascomycota; Orbiliomycetes; Orbiliales; Orbiliaceae.
AUAAGCGGAGGAAAAGAAACCAACAGGGAUUGCCUCAGUAACGGCGAGUGAAGCGGCAACAGCUCAAAUUUGAAAUCUCAGGUAUUCUACUUGCGAGUUGUAAUUUGAAGAGGAUGUUUCGGUUGUGACCUAGGCCUAAGUUCCUUGGAACAGGACGUCGUAGAGGGUGAGAAUCCCGUACACGGCUGUAGGUUUACUUCCAUGUGUAACUCCUUCGAAGAGUCGAGUUGUUUGGGAAUGCAGCUCAAAAUGGGUGGUAAAUUUCAUCUAAAGCUAAAUACUGGCGAGAGACCGAUAGCGCACAAGUAGAGUGAUCGAAAGAUGAAAAGCACUUUGAAAAGAGAGUUAAACAGUACGUGAAAUUGUUGAAAGGGAAGCGUUUGCAAUCAGACUUGCUUUCGGUUGAUCAACGUUCCUUUUGGUUCGUGCACUCUGCCGUUCGCAGGCCAGCAUCGGUUAGGACAGUGGGACAAAGACUCAAGGAAUGUGGCUCUCUUCGGGGAGUGUUAUAGCCUUGUGUGUAAUGCCACUUGACCUGACCGAGGUCCGCGCUUUUGCUAGGAUGCUGGCGUAAUGGUUGUAAACGACCCGUCUUGAAACACGGACCAAGGAGUCUAACAUCUAUGCGAGUGUUUGGGUGUCAAACCCAUACGCGUAAUGAAAGUGAACGGAGGUGGGAGUCUUCGGAUGCACCAUCGACCGAUCCUGAUGUCUUCGGAUGGAUUUGAGUAGGAGCAUAGCUGUUGGGACCCGAAAGAUGGUGAACUAUGCCUGAAUAGGGUGAAGCCAGAGGAAACUCUGGUGGAGGCUCGC